Non-coding RNA from Meleagris gallopavo (turkey), 2808 nucleotides. The record is from RefSeq and is a predicted model, not a curated record. Lineage: Eukaryota; Metazoa; Chordata; Aves; Galliformes; Phasianidae.
UGUUCCCUCGCGCCCUGCUGCUGUCACCAGAGCGCCAAACCCGGCACCGCCCUCUGCUCCCUGGGAGGAGCCGCAGCCGCCACGAGGCCUCCCCUCGGCCUGCUCCGCUCUGGGCCGAACAAACGCAGGGAUCUCCAACAAUCCUUCACCUUCCUGACCUUUCACAGUCCUCCUCUGGGCGCUCACUCUUGGUUUUGUUUGAUUUACCCUGCGGUGUUCAAAACCACAUACAGCGAUCGAGGUGAGGAUGCACCAGCACAGAGUGGGACAACAGCACUGAAAACAUUUCCAUUAUUCCUUUCACUUGUUUCACCACAGCCUCUCUUCUCCAGCACUUCUGUACGUUUCCAUGAAGAAAUUUAACAAUGGGAACAUGAACUCACAAAAACAAAGAAAAACAAAAAAUAAUUCUGAACAGAUCAUGUGGGAUUACAGCCUGCAAUUGCAGAGGCUGUAGGCUGUGCAAUAUCAGUGACAUUUGCUCUCCCUCUGCCUUCAAUUCCUGUUCUUCAGCUACAACUCAGUAGCAGUUUUUCAGUGAACACUGCUGGAUAUUACAAGCGGGUAAAUCAGUGCAGGAACUCCUGUGAGUUUAAGUUGAAAAAAACCAAAAACAUCCAGAAAUUUAAAUAAUAUAUAAUUGCAAAUACAAGUGCCAAGACUGUGAUGUAUUGCACUAACUGUUUAUCUCCUGUGGAGAAUUACUUCAGGUUUACUGAUGCAGAAGCUUUCCACACAUUUAAGUCUACCACUGACAUUUAUCCAGAAGUGCUAAAAGACAAUCAGGAAUAGAACCAAAACAGGAAUUAUAACCAUUGCUGGUGUCUCACACGUACCAGCAGCUCACUCUUGCUCUGCAAUAGUCAGCAAGCAUCUCCACAUAGUUUGAAAAUCAGCACUACCCUUGAAUAUGGGUAGUAUUGAGAGGCAGACUUCCAAGCCCAAUAUUUCUGAUUGGAACUAACGUGAAAUUAAUUUGCUCUUUGUGUAACACUCAGAGGAACACAGCUUAGUAGCAGUUCUACAGAAAACACCAUCGUACAGCCCAUCCAGCAACUCUUGGUUUGCACCAACUCAAAAAAAAAAAAAAUGACAUGCCAGAAGCCCUAUAGAAACAGUGGCACUCUAUCACUGGAACAUACCAUCACAUAUUAUUGAACUCAUAAACACUCCCACAGUUUCUGUGACAGAAUUUCAAGACAAAAUUUCACACAGAGCAAUACAUCUCAACCGUUUUCCCAAGCAUAGAAAGAGUUCUUUUAUGUUCUGCUCACACCGGAGCCAAAUUGGUUCCGAAUGGCUCUCAGCAAUACCAGGCAAGCACUCGCCAGGCAGGCCAAUAGUCAUAGACAGAAAGAAGCACUGAACUCACCCAACUGGUGAUGGGGAUCUCUGCCACACAGCACUUCCCCAGAAAGCAGCCAAAGUCCACGGGAUGCUCUCCUCUCAGUGGCUGGCCAUUAUAUGAGCCAUGGGGUGCUACAACCUGGACCUACCCCUUCAUGUCACAUGGGAACCACAGGUGCAAACCACCUGCCUCUUCUCCCUGGGCCAGUCACACUGCUUCACCAGCUGCUCAAUCACCCCUUCCAGCCAUUACCUAACACUUCACCUACAUUGUAUGACUUUUGUAUGAUUUUUGAUCAGUUAAAUAGUUAAAUUCAAACACACAUGCAGUUAGAGAUGAACUAGUUGGUUUCUUUUGCAUUCACUUUUUUCUAUUUUAAAGUCACAAAAGCAUUGAAAAUCUAGGAUCCCUUUUCUACUGGCACACCACUACGAAGAGCAACCAACAGGCACACCACUUCUCUUGAGUAAGCUAUGAACUGCGUGAACAUCAGGAAAGAUACUUUACAAACAUUUGGAUAAAAAUAACAGCUACAGAAUAAAAUUACCUUGACAAGUAUAAUUCCGAUUCCAGCCUCAGUUGGAAAUCUGUCCCAUGAUUUCCUGAUUGUUUAUUUCCAGCAAAAGGCCAUCUCAAGAAGAACCUUCAAGCUACACAGAUUAAUUAGAGUUCAAUCCACCUGGCAAUCCAUUGGUUCUUAGUAGACACUGAAACAACCGUACGGGUUCUGGGACCAUGGAAGGCUCUUCCUGCAGGUCUCCAAACAUCCCAGUGGCUCACACCAAACAAUAUGAAGACAAGACAUUGAACUCGAGCCCUCUCAGGAUACACAAUUAAAUAGGUACUGAAAGAAGCUCUAAAACAUUUAGAAGAAGAAAAGCAGCAACAUGACCAAGCUCACUGCAGAGACACAAACAGGUGCUGCAGAGGCCUACAAAUGGAAUUUGCCUUAUUGUGCCACAGCACUAUUUGAUCAGGGACACUGUCCUACGUCAGCUCUAUUGCCUCCUGUCUACAUUGAGGUACCAGAAGUUACCACACUUGUGGGAAGUGGAAACUACAAAACACUUAACAAGAACCCAACACAACAAACCAAAGAAUCAAGCUAGAAACAUACAGGAAAGGCUUUGGGAAUAAAAGGUACCAGAGGUACCUAAUGCUUCAGUGCUGCAUUAUUGUGUCAAAUAAACAUCUUCAAAAAGCAUUUUGUCAGUCUGAUUUUUAUCAAAGUAUCUAAUUGGAAAUAUUUUACCUCCUUGGAAUUGUAGAUUUUUGUAGAUGCUGCAAACCUACAAUUUUUCUGUGAAAAAUAGAGAAUUUUAACAUCUUAAGUUCAAAAGGGUUAUGUACUUUCCAGUAAGGAAGAACUACAUAAAGGUAAAAGAUUACAUUGCUAAUAUAAACAUGCAAAGUUACCAAACAAAGCAAAGAUCAAUUGCCUCAGUGAGCAUACAUCUAAA